This 1024-nucleotide long non-coding RNA is filed under the name Phasianus colchicus (ring-necked pheasant). Its description in RNAcentral is "lncRNA (ENSPCLG00000004902.1)". Lineage: Eukaryota; Metazoa; Chordata; Aves; Galliformes; Phasianidae. The record is from RNAcentral.
GAAUAAUUGCAGGCAGAUCACUAAUCAUAUAUAGAAAAAAAGAGCAGAACUCACACAUUUGAAGAAGGUGCUCUCUGGAAGUACAGCAUUCCUGCUCAAGAAGCAGCGUAGGCCCAAAAAAUCCAUUCCCUUCGGCAGCUGAGCCUUAUGUGAACCCAGGGCAGCCCCACUCAGGGCAGCUCCUUCCGGUCACACAGUGAGCACAGGUGCAAACAAUGUACCUGCACUGCAGUUCCCGCCCAGACCUAGCAGCUCCCCUACAUGUGAACUGAGCUUUCACACAGGAGCUGAAGAAAGGUGACUGUGUUUUCAGCUGUGAUGAAGGCUCAGAUGGUGUGUAUGAGUAUCCUUGACGUCUGUCUGGCUGUCAUCUCCAGGAUAAGUCAAAAUAUACAGCUACGCUGCAUGUUGGCGUAUGGAAUGUUUCACUACUCACACAGCAGAAGGGACAGGGAGCUCAUCUGAAAAGCUUCAUCAGUACUUGUGGCUGCUUUUUCUAUCCCUUUGGGAAAGCCUGAGCAGUGAAGGUUACAACUUAUGCUGCAUGGGAGCAAGAAGAAGCAAGUGCGAGGCGUCACUUACAGAUACAUCUCUCCAGGUAGCAGAAAGAAGGGUAGUGGAGACAAACCCCUGUUCAUUCAUGUUCUGUCUUAUGAACUGCAGAGGAUUAGUCCGAGUCAUGCCUGUGGGUGCAUUGUAAACAUGUUCCUUUGUGACUAACGUGUUUGCACUGAAGUUAAAUAACUCAUUUCUACUGUGCUGCAGCAAAAAUUAUUAAAGUAAGUAAUAAGUGAGAUACUUCUGUUUGUGUGGCUGGGCUCAGACUCAGCCCUAAUUGGAAGAUUUGUGCUUCAAAUACAAAUGCUUAGGAGAAAUUAUGAUAUUUUCCCUUAACCAAAUGUACAAAAGAAAGCAAGGUUGACUACAUUAGUCUGUAAUCAUCACAUUGAAAAAUCACCUCAGUCUUCUUUGAGAAGGGAAGCAGGGGAAAAUAAAGACUUCAGAAAAGUGGAAAGAAAGUACA